GAAAAUAUAUUUUCCACUCAUUUAAGUGGUAAUAAGCUAGAAUAUCAAGCAUGAAAGCCGAUGAAGUGUAUCAAUAAUUAAAGGAUAAUAUAAUAAUAAUGGGAAAAGCUAAACAGAGCUUCUGACAGUGGUAUUCCAAAGGCCAUUGAAUCUAUUACGAAGCUUUUCAACCUUGUUCUCUCGAGAUUCAAGGCAAAUUAAAUGACCUCCAGUUCGCGGUUUUCCGACGAAGCAACAGUAUGCUCAACAAUCACAAACUGCAAUGGUAAUUAAUUUUCAUUCAAGGUAUUAUUAGACUAUUUUAUGACAUAAUUAUUAUUCUUUUGACAUGGGUAUUCAAAUAUGAGAUUUCUAAUUUAAAAAAGAAGAGCUAGAUUUUUUAUUUUUAAAAGAAAAUUUUCAUCCGUAGAUUUAUGAUUUGAGACGUAGAACCUCGAGAUAUGCUCCAAUAUUUGAAAUCGGGUUGACAUUGGUAGAGAUUUUCUAUACCUUAAAUUUAAGAUUUGGAAGUCUAUUUAUUAUUGGAAUUUGGUAAAAUUGAUAUGGUUGAACUCGUAAUUGAAUGAGUUUUCAGAUUUUACAAGUUUUGUCGGAUUAGAGAUUUGGGCCCCACGGGCAAUUUUUGAGUUAAGUUUUGAAUAUGUUAGAAGAUUUGUAAUUUCAUAUGGAAUCAAUUCGUACAAUUUAUAUUGGGUAUAUUAAAUUAUUAUGACUAGAUUUGAAGCUUCAGACGAAUUCGCGAGGCAAAGGCUUGUUGGAAUUUUGAAUUUGGUUUCAAAGCGAGGUAAGUGUUUGAUCUAACUUUGGCUUGAGAGAAUAUGAUUAGAGUAUUGUUUGCUAAUUGCUAAAUGUUGAGUACGGUGUAUAGGCAUGGUGGCGAGUAUCUAUACACUGGAGUCUAGCAUGAACGUGAGUCUUUGUAUGUGAUUAUUCGGAUUCUGUGGUGACUCUUCCUUGUUAAUUAUAAAUUCCAUGUAAUGUGAAGAGUUUGAGAAGGAAUUAUGAUUUAUAUAUUCUUGGAGUGUUGGCUCGAAUGGUGAUAUGAUAAUGGAAUAAGGAUUGGACAAAAGAGAAAGAGAUGUAAUUAUCCCCUUGCCGGGACGUGUAAAUUAUUGUACUAUUGUUCACUUGUCGGAAUACUAUUGUUUUCCCUUAUCGAGAUAUUAUUGUUUGAUAUUAUUUUUUCUUCCUGGAAUUUGAUUGUUGUACUAUUGUUCCCUCACCGGGUGAAUCGCUAUGUUACCAAGUUCCGUUAUUGGGAUCCUCUCUAUAAAGACUUAUAUAUUAUGAAAUGAGAUUGUGUGGCACGCCAACCACUAUAUUAUAAAAUGGGAUCGUGUGGCACCCCGACCACUUAUAUAUUAUGAAAUGGGAUCGUGUGGCACCCCGACCACUUAUAUAUAUUAUGAAAUGGGAUCGUGUGACACGCGACCACUUAUAUAUUAUGAAAUGGGCUCUUGUGGUACGCCUACCAUGAGAUAGAUAAGUUGAAAGUGAAAUUUCGAUGUUUGAUUUUCUUAUCCUUGUCAGUGAUUGGAUUUUUGGUGUCGUGCACCUUCGAUUUACUAUGUUUAGUUGUUAUGUUCAAUUCAAAUAUUUUAACUGUUGAGAUUCGUUUAUUGUUAUGAUGAUUGUGUUAAAACAUACAUUGUUUCGAAUAUCUCAUCGCAUUUAUACAUAUAUAUAUAUAUGUAUAAACAUUCCAAUACUUCGAACAUCAAUAAUUAUUACAUCCUUAAUUCAAUUAGUUUCUCAACUAUAUCCCCUUAAACCGUUUGAGGUUGUACUUUACUUAAAAAGGAAAAUCUACUAUGUUUUUUAUUUAUUGAUUUCUCGUAUUAAAGGUGAUGAUUCAUUCGGUAUUGUACUUUAAUUGAAAAGGAUAUUUUCUUUAUCAAAUAAUUACUAAAAAUAACUUCAUCUUUUCUUGUUUAUUUCCUAAUUGGGUUGGAAGUUGUACUUAACUUUAUAUUAAGUAAAUGAGGCUCUUUGAGAAUCCUUAACUGUAUUUGGUUACGGACUUUGUGAAUUGAAUAACAUGAGAAUUUUGUUGCGAAAUGUGAGACAAAAGCAUGUGGGCACAAGGUGCCGGGAAAAAUAUGAUGAUUUCUAUUAAUGGAAAAUUAUGAUAUAGGCAUGAGGUGCCGGGGAAAAUAUUAUGGUUUUAUUUAACGGCACGUGAGUUGUCCGUGUGAUUGUGAUAUAAAAAUGAGCACGAGGUGCCGUGAAAAUAUGAAAGUGGGCUGAGACCUAUAUUAUUUAUGAUUUUGAAAUGAGGUAUUACAAGGUGACCUUUACUCGAAAUAAUUAUAUUUGAAAGAUGCUUAUCUGAAAGAUAUUUUAUUUAAAUGAAGUAUAUUCAAAAUAUAUUCACUGACAAGCAUAUUACUUUAGAGAUUUAUAUUUGAUGGGCUUGAUUAAUUGAUUGUACUUGUAUUUAUUGUUUGUUGAGAAACAAUUAUGUUGUCCUUGUUGCCUGCUAUUUAUAUCAAUGGUUUAUCAUUGUUGCCAUCAUUAUUAUCUGCUUCCAAUUAUGUUGUAUGAUAUUUUGCACAAGUUUAUUUGGUAGUCUUGUCCUAGUCUCGUCAUUACUUCGCCAAGGUUAGGUUAGGCACUUACCAGCACAUGAGCUCGUUUAUACUGAUACUGCACUUCUGUACAUUUUUGUUGAUUGAUAGUAGUUAUCGUUGCGGUGGAGACUCAAGGUAAACCUUCUACAACAUUCGCAGUUCUCAGAGUCACCUUCAAUUGUACUUAUUUUCAUUUGUUCCCUUUCUUUCGAACAGUGAUGUAAUUAUUUUUUAUGACUACUCCUAAAAAGGCUUAUGACUUGUACUACCGGAUUUUAAAAGUUCUUCAUUGCGUAAGGGAUUCAUCUCAUAAGAAUUAUAGCUGUUAUUAAUUAUUGUUGUUAUUUCACAUUUUUGUAGGCUUACCUAGUCCUUAAGAUUAGGUGCCAUCACGACCCUUCGGAGGGAUUUUUGGGGCGUGAAAACACCAAUAUCCUCUGUUUCUUAACCGUCCUCGACUUUUCUUCUUCAUGAUUUUUUACCCUCUUUAAUAACUCAUACAUCAUAACCAUGGAAAAAAUCGUAUUUACCAUUGGUAGCUUUCCCAAAUCUACAGCCACAGAA
Molecule: long non-coding RNA, 3134 nt
Filed under: Nicotiana benthamiana
Lineage: Eukaryota; Viridiplantae; Streptophyta; Magnoliopsida; Solanales; Solanaceae
Description: long non-coding RNA (NBEN_LNC031337)
Source: RNAcentral